UUCUGGGAAUAACCGGGAAUAACCGGGGAUUCUGGGAAUAACCGGGGAUUCUGGGGAUUUCCUGCUGGCCAACUUCCAGAGCCACCUGCGGGAGUCCUGCCUGCACUUCUCCCGCAGGGUGGGAUACAGGUGUCCCAGCUGCUCCGUGGUGUUCGGCGGCGUCAAUUCCAUCAAAUCCCACAUCCAGAGCUGUCACUGCGAGGUUUUCCACAAGUGCCCCGUGUGUCCCAUGGCCUUCAAAUCCUCCCCCAGCGCCCAGGGCCACCUGUGCGCGCAACACCCGGCCUGCGGCGCGCAGCCCGCCAAGUCAGUGCUGCGGGAACGACACCGGGGGAACACGCGGCGGGAAAAACACCGGGAAAAACACCGGGAAAAACGGCGGGGAACGGCGGG
Molecule: non-coding RNA, 393 nt
Organism: Cyanistes caeruleus (blue tit)
Lineage: Eukaryota; Metazoa; Chordata; Aves; Passeriformes; Paridae
Source: RefSeq, a predicted model, not a curated record